CCGGGCAGGUGCAUCAGCCUCUUCUUUCUAGUUUCCGACAGGGCUACCCGCACUAGCCUCUGACCUCUACUCCAAAACCUGAACUUCACAGAUCCGAAGCCUAAACCUUCACUACUUCCAUCACUUCACAGAGCAGGUCUUGUUUUCAAACUUGCUUUCGGGUUAAGUGCAGAAAAUCAAUUCAAUAUUCCUGUCAUUGAGGAUCUAUUAGAUGAGCUACAUGGUGCACAACUGUUUUCCAAACUUGAUUUGAGAUCAGGUUAUCAUCAGAUAAGAAUGAGAAGAGAAGACAUUCAUAAAUUUUAGGACAUAUUUUUGUCAUUAUGAAUACUUAGUGAUGCCAUUUGGACUCACUAAUGCACCUGCUACCUUCCAAUCUUUAAUGAAUCAUGUUUUUGCUCCGGAAAUACCUUUUGGUAUUCUUUGAUGAUAUUCUGAUAUAUAGCAAGACCAAACAAGCUCAUCUCAAGCAUCUAAAGUUAGUCCUGGACAUUCUAAGGUCAUAAAAACUAUAUGCUAAGAUUAGCAAAUGCAGUUUUCCUGUCCCUCAAGUGGAGUAUUUAGGGCAUGUUAUCUAAGGAUAGGGUCUAUCUACAGACCCCCACAAAAUAGUUGCCAUCAAAGAAUGGCCAGCACCUAAGACUAUCACUCAGUUGAGGAGUUUUCUUGGUAUGGCUGCAGAAAAAGAAGAUUUGUCAAGAAUUAUGGGAUCAAUUCUAGGCCACUUCAUGACUGUCUAAAAAAAGAUUCAUUCCAGUGGUCAGAUGCUCAAAUUGAGGCCUUCACAACAUUGAAGAAUUGUCUGGUCACUGCCAUUACCUACUUCUGCUUGGACUGACAUCUCCCUGGAUUUCUUUGAGGGUCUUCCCAAAUCAUUGGGCAAAGAAGUCAUAUUGUUGGUGGUGGACAGGUUCACUAAAUAUUCUCAUUUCAUUCCCCUUGCUCACCCUUAUACAGUACAAUCAGUCUCUCAUGCUUUCAUGGAUAAUGUUUUUAAGUGGAAUGGAUUGCCAAAGUCAAUAGUCUCUGAUAGAAACUGGAUAUUCACAAGUAACAUGUGGCAGGCCUUCUUCAAAGCACUGCAAGUGAAAUUGAGCAACCAAGGAAGUGGGCUAGUUUGGAUCAAGCAAAUGCCACUUGGGAGGAUGCCGACUUCAUCAAAGGUCUCUUUCCGGAGUUCUAUACAGCUCCUAUUCGUGGUUGGUGCCCUAAUUCCAACACUUGACAAUGCUUUGGGGGAGGUAUUGUCAUAUCUGAAGAUUACUGUACCUAACUCUCGAUUGAAUUCAGAGUGCUGCCUUUACUUCAUCUGCCGUGAACGGAGCCAAGAGGCUUGCGUUCAUUUCUUCAGUUACUCGCCUGUUUACUUUCCCCAGUAGCCCAGGGUCGGGAGCUAGGACUUCUGAGGUGAACAGUCCCUCAAAGUAACCCUGUAUCAGAGAUGCUAACUGGUCAUUACCUUCGAUCCUGUUGCCGUUUGAGUCAUUCAGAAACUUUAUUAUGUUCUUCUUUUUUCUCCGUUGCAAAAUGAUGUGAUGAAAGAAGCUCGUAUUUCGGUCUCCAUGGCGGAGCCAAUUAGCCCUUCCUCUUUGCAGCCAUUAAUCCGAGUGCAAACUCUCUCAAUUAAGUGUUGGAAGCAGUCGCUCCUAUCCACUCCUACCAGGGAGGGGAGCCCCAAGUAUUUGUCAGUGAGCGAUUCGGUGACAAUAUUCAGCAGGUUGCAUACCUCUUGUCUGUCCCCCCUAUCUGUCUAAGGGUCCUUGGUAAAACUCUCUUCAUUGAAGGCAGUACGUGGGUAUCCAUCUUAUCUACGGUCUGCGGGUCAUCCACAUGACCAAAACAAAGGGUACGAAAGCAGUGAAACCGAUAUAUCUGUUGAAGGCGAUCCCACCGGUCCUAUUUAUUAAGUUGCAAUGGCGAGUAUCUUUGGACCCCAAAGAGUUGUAUAAGUUGGAAAAUGGAGAUUUGCCUGUGGCAUUGGCCGUUGGGCAGCUAGCUAUUGCAUUUGAAGGCUCCACAGAAAGAACCCGCAGGUACUAUUACGACAGGUGGCUUCGAAUCCAGUUUGUUAGUCGUUUGCAUCUCGGUUAACAAAAAUAAGCUUGAAUCCCUCCAUUCGUAGAUCAAUCAGCUAAAGUUGUUAAAACAAUGCCCCGGUAAAAAGGUAGCAGAAGGUCGUUCUUUCUUACUCGAAGUUGCACUCAGGUGCUGCCGUUUUAGAGCUAGGCGAUAUUCUCUGUGUAAACCAGUAUCGUAUCUGUUCGAUAUGGACCAUUCUAUAAGUAUAGUCAUUUCAGUCUUCCUCAAAGGAUCUCCGAUCUAUUGUGCAACCUUCCCUUCGAAACCCACCCCACACGAAUACUUCUACCCCUUAUCACAGCUCCAAUGCCCACAGGCAUCUGUCUCUAGCACAAAUCUUUUACUGAAAUCAGGGAGAACCAACACAGGGGCCUCAAUUAAAGCUUGCUUGAGAACAUCAAAGGAUUGCUUUGGCUUGUCCACACAAAUGGUACUCCUUUCUUUAACAAGUUCGUGAGAGGUCUCCUAAUUAUGUAUAUACAGGAUGAGUCACAUCUUGACCGGAGCCAUGCGGAGCACAAAAAGUGAAGAGAAAGGAUUUGUUCACCACUUUAAGCCAAAAGAUAGAAAUGAAAGCUGUUCCCAUAGAAUGAGAUUAGAUCCCGCAAGUGAGCUAUUUAUACCGAAGCUUACAAGAAGCAAAGUUGAAACGGGAGCUUUCCCACCACGGCAUCCAACUCUUCUCUUCCGUAAGCAAAGGGGCUUUCAACGAGAUAGGGAGCUGUACAAUUUCACCCGUGGGUGGGGCUGGCUCACAAUACAACAAUUAUCGCUACUGAUUCCAGAUAGAAUGUUGAUACCGGUGGAAAAGCACUUCUUUCUAUGUAUAGGGCAGUGAACUAAAAAAAAAGUGUCCUUUCUCGAUACAUAACAUUGUAUAAGUCAACCCAAGUCGCUUCUUCAUCUCCGGGAAUCCGGUAAGGUACUUUUGGAACACCAAUGGGCAUAUUAGAUUAAUAUUAUUAUAUUAUAGUAAGAAAACUACACUUUAAUAUAUAAACAUAAGAAUGGAAGAGAAAGAAAGAACCUGAGAAGAGCUUAGUUGGAACUCUUUACCGGGAUCAUAGGGGCUAUGCUCCCCUCUCUCUGUCUCAGUCCCAGCCAACGGCAUAGCAACACCUACUCUUCCUUCUGAUGCAGCCUUCCUGGAUCCAUAAUUUGGCUUCCUCGUUUAUUGAUUGCUUGCAAUCGCCACAACACCAUUGAGUGAGCGUCAUAGAAUCCUCAAGGCGUGAAGUAGAAGUUCUUCGAACCUUGAUUGUGUGUGUUCGUGCCCACUCCAAUAGAGCAUUUGGCCCUGUGAGCUUUGACUACGAAAGCUACCUAUGUCAAUCAGUAUAGCCACUAGAGGGAUUGGAACAGGUAUAUUCCUUCUCAGACAGUACUUUAAGACAAACACGGUUCACAAGGUGGAUUUUCUAUCUAUUAGUUGACUACGGAGCUUCCUCAUCCCGACCUAUCUAUAUGUGAAAAGCUCUCCGCCAGAAUCUUCGUAGUAGUAAGUCGUGGGUUACAAGCUGUCCCUUCCUCAAACCACCCCGCAAUAGAUAUAGGGUUUACCAACCUCAGGCAUGGACAUAGACACCAGAUCAUUUUGAUAGAAAUGAGGUAGACUGGAAGCUGAAGCCAAUAGACCAAUGGAACUAAUCAAUCACUUGCUUUCCCGAACUGGACAGCAGGAUUUUAUCAGCACUGGACUUGAAUCGCGUCGAUGACUCUAAUCUUUAGAGACAGAAGCAGAUGGGAGAAGGUUGGAUAUGGAUCAUGAUCAAGUCUACCUCGUAAGCCACUUAAAGAUCUUUGAGCAGCUCGAGAGAGAAAUCCGUCUUCAUUGGUACAAAAUAACCUUCGCCCCCCUUUUUUGUUAUGGGAUGGUGGUUCCUGUCUAUCAACUAAGGUUAUAAAUUGAUUCUAUAAGAAUCUAGUAGAUCACGCACCUAUUGUAUUUAGUGUGAUCUUGUGGGAGAGUAAGGAAUCGCACCCUUAGCGUGAGGGGAAUAGCCGGUUUCCUUUCCUUAACUAGACUACCUUACGGUAGCUCGACUGGGCACGUCAACGUAUGUAUUCUGUCUUCCCAAUCAAACAUUAGUCAUUGCAGCUAUUUCAUCUGGUCUACUAGAGUAGAGAGAUCUCUCACUUCACUGCACAUCGCACUAACUAAUAGCUAGCCGCCUCACGGAUCACCUUAUUAUGUGCAGCUAAAGCGGGGUGUGUGCAUUGUUCAACUAGAGCCGAGGAGGACAAAAGAAUAAGGAACAAUAGGUUCGCUACCCGAUUUCAAUAGUUUCCUUGAUUUGAAAUCAAUCCAAUAUCCUUUCGAGAAUCUAGAGUGAUAUCAACAACCUCCUAGUUGAAGUACAGACGAGGAAGCAGCCUAUUAGUUUCAGUCCAGUCCAGGAAAGGAAGGCAAUCGAUUCAAUUCAUUCCCCAAUUUCAGGCUUGGUGCUGCGCAUUAUUAAGAAUAUCAUAUAGGAAGAUGGACUAGCUCGAGACCUUGGCUUCAACCAAUCAAUUGAAUCUUGGACACAUUGAAUUCUUAGAUAUUGCUUAAGGGAUCACCACAUAUAUUUCUCAGAUUAUCAUGUCUGUCUCGUCUUGCUAUUUCCAUCGACCAACCAUGAGAGUGUUAAUCAACUCCACCUGGAGGAAGUGUCAAAGGCGUCUGUCUAUCAGUUAUCGAUAGAUCGAACAAACCUAAAGGAUCUGGUGGUUGUGUAAUUGUAAGAUUACUGAUCAUGGGAUACGGAUCUAGUUCCUGGCUCUGCCUACGCAGAGCUGAGUCGGAUAGUCUUGAAGAGAUGUCUUGGAAUGUUUGAUGGCCGUGAAAGUAAGAAUUAUUUGAUUUAGCCAUAAUUCGCCUACUUUACUUUAGAGGACUAGCUCUUCCUAUUGGACUCGUGGGAUUGGAGACAGCACAACCUCAGGUUCACUAUCUUCUUUAGAGUGGGACAGAUAGACUAGAAUGGGCUGGUUUUUCAAAAGACUUGAACACCCAUCCGAUAUAGACUCAUCGAAGGCAAUGCGAUAGGUCGUAGCCUGGGAGAUAGGGGUUGAGCAACCAAGCGAACAAGGGCUCGUACUGUCGGAGGGUCCACAGGUUCCAUUCUUGAUCUGAUUUCUCGCUAUCUUAUUCGGUGGUACAAAACGAAAUACGACUCCUAUUCUUGCCCGAUGUAGGUAGCCACGCCCACUCUAAUUCCAUCCAAUGUAUACCACACUUUGGUAGAAGUUAAGCGCUUAAGCAGCUCCAGAAGCUGCAGAGAGGUGAAAGCUGGAAAGCCAAUAGCCAGAAUUCUUUUGGCAAUAGUGGAAUAGCCAGCUAAUACUGGUGCAAGCUCGGGUAUCGAGCAACACUACCUAGUAACCAUACCAUACCAUACAUCUACUAAACAGAGGAUGACAUAGCCAAUAAAGGAUUGGUAAUUCCUGUCAGAAGAAGAAUCAGAGGAAUCGAAGCAAUCAUAAAAGCAGGAAAUUGCAAUGCCUUCUCCACCCCGUGUUGAUAAAACAAUUGUAUUUAGCGCGCCUCAAGCCUCCUUCCUCGGGGUAGGUCCCGCGUAUGACCCAACCCAUCUCCCCGAAGGCAGGCAGGUUCGGAAAUAGCUUGCGCAGAAGCGAGAACCCCAGGUCCAUAUCUAAAAAAAAAUAUGUAGUUUUUGUAAGCGAGCUGAGGAAUAAAAGUAAGAAAGAUCCGCAAGAGAAGAAAGGACCUGGGACAGAAGAAAGAACCGAACCCUAUAGUUGUACAGAAUUCCGUUUGUCCGCUUUCCAUUUCGACCACUCGCUCCUAUGUAUGAAGAAUGGCUCUUCCUUGUCUUCAUCUUUUCCAAUCGACUGCCUUCGGGCGGAUCCACACACGGAUAUCGAGUCAGUCUAGUGGCUCAUGCUGCUUAAUAGUGGAGGCGGGUAACAACUGCUCUUUCUUCUCGAUCGAGUAGCCACCGCAUAAAUUGGUAAGCUUCCCACGCCAAAGCUAGUCUUCCUUGCUUUCCCAACAAACAAUAAGACCCAUAGCAUGUGCACCAGGAUGGUCUUUCUAUCCCUAUCUAUUCUCACCGAACUAGACCUCUCAUACCCGGCUACAGGAGAGGUAACUACCUCUGAUUGAUUUUAUUCGUCAUAAAUGAUUUCCGCUGACUCAAGCAUAGCCAAGCCAUUAAGCUAAUAUCUCCCUUGCCAUUAAUUCAACAAGGCUUCCGAGAAAGGCAUGUUACGAACCUAAGAACACCUACCCACCUAUUAACUUUUGGAAUUCUUAGCUUUGGACGUUAAGGAAUGAGUGGAAUGAAUAGACGACGUACUCUCUCUAAUCGGUGCAGCCUGCUGAGCCCCCUUUCUCCUCGGUCCACAGAGAAAAAAAUGUAGGACUGGUGCCGACAGUUCAUCACGGAAGAAAGAACUCACAGAGCCGGGAUCGGUAACUAAUAGUACUACUAACUAAUACUAAUAUAUAGAAAUAGAUAUCUAGAAAUAGAAAUGAACUAAUAUAUAGAUAAUCGAAAUUGAAAAGAACUGUCUUUUCUGUAUACUUUCCCCGUUCUAUUGCUACCGCGGGUCUUAUGCAAUCGAUCGGAUCAUAUAGAUAUCCCUUCAACACAACAUAGGUCAUCGAAAAGAUCUCGGACGACUCACCAAAGCACGAAAGCCAGUUAGAAAAUGGAUUCCUAUUUGAAGAGUGCCUAACCGCAUGGAUAAGCUCACAUUAACCCGUCAAUUUUGGAUCCAAUUCGGGAUUUUUCUUGGGAAGUUUCGGGAAGAAAUUGGAAUGGAAUAAUAUAGAUUCAUACAGAGGAAAAGGUUCUCUAUUGAUGCAAACGCUGUACCUAGAGGAUAGGGAUAGAGGAAGAGGGAAAAAUCGAAAUGAAAUAAAUAAAGAAUAAAGCCAAAAAAAUAAGUCGAAGAUAGAAGAGCCCAGAUUCCAAAUGAAGAAAUGGAAACUCGAAAAG
Molecule: non-coding RNA, 7025 nt
Organism: Triticum urartu
Lineage: Eukaryota; Viridiplantae; Streptophyta; Magnoliopsida; Poales; Poaceae
Source: RefSeq, a predicted model, not a curated record